RNAcentral lists this transfer RNA (72 nucleotides) under Bos taurus (domestic cattle). It matches the Rfam family "tRNA". Rfam says of the family: Transfer RNA (tRNA) molecules are approximately 80 nucleotides in length. Their secondary structure includes four short double-helical elements and three loops (D, anti-codon, and T loops). RNAcentral also lists the same sequence under 5 other names. The record is from Rfam by way of RNAcentral. Lineage: Eukaryota; Metazoa; Chordata; Mammalia; Artiodactyla; Bovidae.
UCCCUGGUGGCUCAGAGGUUAAAGCGUCUGUCUCCAACGCUGGAGACCCGGGUUCGAUCCCUGGGUCGGGAA